GGCGCGGCUUUACCCAUGGCAUAUUUUUAGCACGCGGAUGCCCCUCGCAAAGUCUCGCGGCAUUCCGAGUCCGGCGGACGAAGUUGGCCAGCAUCACCCCCCAAGGCUAUAGCCCACCCGUUUUUGUGGCCUUUUUCCGCUGGACGAACUUGGCGCCCCGGCCGUCAGGCGGUUAUUUUUGGGCGCGUCUUUUCCCGCGGCCUAUUUUUGGCACACGGAGGCCCCUCACAAUGUCUUGCGGCAUUCCGAGUCCGGCGGACGAAGUUGGCCAGCAUCACCCCCCAAGGCUAUAGCCCACCCGUUUUUGUGGCCUUUUUCCGCUGGCCGAACUUGCCGCCCCAGCCUUCGGGCGGUUAAUUUGGGGCAUGGCUUUGCCCGCAGCCUAUUUUUGGCACAUGGAGGCCGCUCGCAAAGUCUAGCGGCAUUCCGAGUCCGGCGGACGAAGUGGGCCAGCAUCACUCCCCAAGGCUAUUGCCCACCCGUUUUUGUGGCCUUUUUCCGCUGGACGAACUUGGCGCCCCGGCCUUCGGGCGGUUAAUUUUGGGCACGGCUUUGCCCGUGGUCUAUUGUUGGCAUACGGACGCCCCUCGCAAAGUCUCGCGGCAUUCCGUGUCCGGCGGACGAAGUUGGCCAGUAUCACCCCCCAAGGCUAUAGCCCACCCGUUUUUGUGGCCUUUUUCCGCUGGACGAACUUGGCGCCCCGGCUGUCGGGCGUUUAUUUUUGGGCGCGGCUUUUCCCACGGCCUAUUUUUGGCACACGGAGGCCCCUCGCAAAGUCUUGCGGCAUUCCAAGUCCGCCGAACGAAGUUAGCCAGCCCCACCCCCCAAGGCUAUAGCCCACCCGUUUUUGUGGCCUUUUUCCGCUGGACGAACUUGGCGCUCCGGCCUUCGGGUGGUUAAUUUUGGGCGCGGCUUUGCCCGCGGCCUAUUUUUAGCACGCGGAUGCCCCUCUUAAAGUCUUGCGGCAUUCCAAGUCCGGCGGAUAAAGUUGGCCAGCAUCACCCCCCAAGGCUAUAGCCCACCCGUUUUUGUGGCCUUUUUCCGCUGGACGAACUUGUCGCCCCGGCCUUCGGGCGGUUAAUUUUGGGCGCGGCUUUGCCCGCGGCAUAUUUUUAGCACGCGCAUGCCCCUCGCAAAGUCUCGCAGUAUUCUGAGUCCGGCGGACGAAGUUGGCCAGCAUCACCUCCCAAGGCUAUAGCCCACCCGUUUUUGUGGCCUUUUUCCGCUGGACGAACUUGGCGCCCCGGCCGUCGGGCGGUUAUUUUUGGGUGUUGUUUCACCCGCAGCUUAUUUUUGGCACACGGAGGCCCCUCGCAAAGUCUAGCAGCAUUCCGAGUCCGCUGGACGAAGUGGGCCAGCAUCACUCCCCAAGGCUAUUGCCCACCCGUUUUUGUGGCCUUUUUCCGCUGGACGAACUUGGCGCCCCGGCCUUCGGGCGGUUAAUUUUGGGCACGGCUAUGCCCAUGGUCUAUUGUUGGCACACGGAGGCCCCUCGCAAAGUCUCGCGGCAUUCCGAGUCCGGCGGACGAACUUGGCCAGUAUCACCCCCCAAGGCUAUAGCCCACCCGUUUUUGUGGCCUUUUUCCGCUGGACGAACUUGGCGCCCCGGAUGUCGGGCGGUUAUUUUUGGGCGCGGCUUUGCCCGUGGUUUAUUUUUGGCACAUGGAGGCCCCUCGUAAAGUCUCACGGCAUUCCGAGUCCGGCGGACGAAGUUGGCCAGCAUUAUCCCCCAAGGCUAUAGCCCACCCGUUUUUGUGGCCUUUUUCCGCUGGACGAACUUGGCGCCCCGGCCGUCGGGCGGUUAUUUUUGGGCGCGCCUUUGCCCGUGGCCUAUUUUUAGCACGCGGAUGCCCCUCGCAAAGUCUCACGGCAUUCCGAGUCCGGGGGACGAAGUUGGCCAGCAGCACCCCCCAAGACUAUAGCCCACCCGUUUUUGUGGCCUUUUUCCGCUGGACGAACUUGGCGCCCCGGCCUUCGGGCGGUUAAUUUUGUGCGCGGCUUUGCCCGCGGCCUAUUUUUGGCACAGGGAGGCCCCUCGCAAAGUCUCGCGGCGUUCCGAGUCCGGAAGACAAAGUUGGCGAGCAUCACCCCCCAAGGCUAUAGCCCACCCGUUUUUGUGGCCUUUUUCCGCGGGACGAACUUGGCGCCCCGGCCGUCGGGUGGUUAUUUUUGGGUGUGGCUUCGCCAGUGGCCUAUUUUUGGCACACGGAGGCCCCUCGCAAAGUCUCGCGGCAUUCCGAGUCCGGCGGACGAAGUUGGCCAGCCCCACCCCCCAAGGCUAUAGCCCACCCGUUUUUGUGGCCUUUUUCCGCUGGACGAACUUGGCGCCCCGGCUGUCGGCCGGUUAUUUUUGGACGCGGCUUUGCCCGUGGCCUAUUUUUGGCACACGGAGGCCCCUCGCAAAGUCUCGCGGCAUUCCGAGUCCGGCGGACGAAGUUGGCCAGCAUCACCCCCCAAGGCUUUAGCCCACCCGUUUUUGUGGCAUUUGUCCGCUGGACGAACUUGGCGCCCCGGCCUUCGGGCAGUUAAUUUUGGGCGCGGGUUUGCCCGCGGCCUAUUUUUGGCACACGGAGGCCCCUUGCAAAGUCACGUGGCAUUCUGAGUCCGGCGGACGAAGUUGGCCAGCCCCACCCCCCAAGGCUAUAGCCCACCCGUUUUUGUGGCCUUUUUCCGCUGGACGAACUUGACGCCCCGGCCUUCGGGCUGUUAUUUUUGGGCGCGGCUUUGCCCGUGGCCUAUUUUUGGCACACGGAGGCCCCUCGCAAAGUCUCGCGGCAUUCCGAGUCCGGCGGACGAAGUCGGCCAGCCCCACCCCCCAAGGCUAUUGCCCACCCGUUUUUGUGGCCUUUUUCCGCUGGACGAACUUGGCGCCCCGGCCUUCGGGUGGUUAAUUUUUGGCACGGCUUUGCCCGCGGCCUUUUUUUGGCAAACGGAGGCCCCUCGCAACGUCUCGCGGCAUUCCGAGUCCGGCGGACGAAGUUGGCCAGCCCCACCCCCCAAGGCUAUAGCCCACCCGUUUUUGUGGCCUUUUUCCGCUGGACGAACUUGGCGCCCCGGCCGUCGGGCGGUUAUUUUUGGGUGUGGCUUCAACCGCAGCCUAUUUUUGGCACACGGAGGCCCCUCGCAAAGUCUAGCGGCAUUCCGAGUCCGCUGGACGAAGUGGGCCAGCAUCACUCCCCAAGGCUAUUGCCCACCCGUUUUUGUGGCCUUUUUCCGCUGGACGAACUUGGCGCCCCGGCCUUCGGGCGGUUAAUUUUGGGCACGGCUAUGCCCAUGGUCUAUUGUUGGCACACGGAGGCCCCUUGCAACGUCUCGCGGCAUUCCGAGUCCGGCGGACGAACUUGGCCAGUAUCACCCCCCAAGGCUAUAGCCCACCCGUUUUUGAGGCCUUUUUCCGCUGGACGAACUUGGCGCCCCGGAUGUCGGGCGGUUAUUUUUGGGCGCGGCUUUGCCCGUGGUUUAUUUUUGGCACAUGGAGGCCCCUCGUAAAGUCUCACGGCAUUCCGAGUCCGGCGGACGAAGUUGGCCAGCAUCAUCCCCCAAGGCUAUAGCCCACCCGUUUUUGUGGCCUUUUUCCGCUGGACGAACUUGGCGCCCCGGCCGUCGGGCGGUUAUUUUUGGGCGCGCCUUUGCCCGUGGCCUA
RNAcentral lists this long non-coding RNA (3643 nucleotides) under Citrus x clementina. RNAcentral's name for it is "Citrus clementina (C. clementina) long non-coding RNA (CCLE_LNC006276)". The record is from RNAcentral. Lineage: Eukaryota; Viridiplantae; Streptophyta; Magnoliopsida; Sapindales; Rutaceae.